GCCAGGCGUGGUGGCGCACACCUGUAAUCCCAGCUACUUGGGAGGCUGAGGCAAGAGAAUUGCUUGAACCCGGGAGGCGGAGGUUGCAGUGAGCUGAGACAGUGCCACUACACUCCAGCCCGGGCAACAGAGCAAGACUCUGUCUCAA
Molecule: non-coding RNA, 148 nt
Filed under: Gorilla gorilla gorilla (western lowland gorilla)
Lineage: Eukaryota; Metazoa; Chordata; Mammalia; Primates; Hominidae
Source: Rfam by way of RNAcentral